This 559-nucleotide ribosomal RNA is filed under the name Coniochaeta mutabilis. RNAcentral's name for it is "LSU rRNA". It matches the Rfam family "Eukaryotic large subunit ribosomal RNA", at positions 62 to 648 of the family's 3401-position model. Lineage: Eukaryota; Fungi; Ascomycota; Sordariomycetes; Coniochaetales; Coniochaetaceae. The record is from RNAcentral.
AAACCAACAGGGAUUGCCCUAGUAACGGCGAGUGAAGCGGCAACAGCUCAAAUUUGAAAUCUGGCUUCGGCCCGAGUUGUAAUUUGUAGAGGAUGCUUUUGGUGAGGUGCCUUCUGAGUUCCCUGGAACGGGACGCCAGAGAGGGUGAGAGCCCCGUAUAGUCGGCCACCGAUCCUCUGUAAAGCUCCUUCGACGAGUCGAGUAGUUUGGGAAUGCUGCUCAAAAUGGGAGGUAUAUCUCUUCUAAAGCUAAAUAUUGGCCAGAGACCGAUAGCGCACAAGUAGAGUGAUCGAAAGAUGAAAAGCACUUUGAAAAGAGGGUUAAAUAGCACGUGAAAUUGUUGAAAGGGAAGCGCUUGUGACCAGACUUGUGCCGGGCUGAUCAUCCAGUGUUCUCACUGGUGCACUCGACCCGGCUCAGGCCAGCGUCGGUUCUCGUAGGGGGAUAAAAGCUUCGGGAACGUGGCACCUUCGGGUGUGUUAUAGCCCGUUGCUUAAUACCCUUGUGGGGACCGAGGUUCGCGCUCUGCAAGGACGCUGGCAUAAUGGUCAUCAGCGAC